GAUGAACGCUGGCGGCGUGCCUAAUACAUGCAAGUCGAGCGAACAGAUGAGGAGCUUGCUCCUCUGACGUUAGCGGCGGACGGGUGAGUAACACGUGGAUAACCUACCUAUAAGACUGGGAUAACUUCGGGAAACCGGAGCUAAUACCGGAUAAUAUAUUGAACCGCAGGGUUCAAUAGUGAAAGACGGUUUUGCUGUCACUUAUAGAUGGAUCCGCGCCGCAUUAGCUAGUUGGUAAGGUAACGGCUUACCAAGGCAACGAUGCGUAGCCGACCUGAGAGGGUGAUCAGCCACACUGGAACUGAGACACGGUCCAGACUCCUACGGGAGGCAGCAGUAGGGAAUCUUCCGCAAUGGGCGAAAGCCUGACGGAGCAACGCCGCGUGAGUGAUGAAGGUCUUCGGAUCGUAAAACUCUGUUAUUAGGGAAGAACAAAUGUGUAAGUAACUAUGCACGUCUUGACGGUACCUAAUCAGAAAGCCACGGCUAACUACGUG
RNAcentral lists this ribosomal RNA (497 nucleotides) under uncultured bacterium. RNAcentral's name for it is "partial 16S ribosomal RNA". It matches the Rfam family "Bacterial small subunit ribosomal RNA", at positions 28 to 507 of the family's 1533-position model. The record is from RNAcentral.